AGCGAACGUUAGCGGCAGGCUUAACACAUGCAAGUCGAGCGAGAAAGGGGCUUCGGCCCUGAGUAAAGCGGCGGACGGGUGCGUAACACGUGGAUAAUCUGCCCUUCAGUGGGGAAUAACGUUCCGAAAGGAACGCUAAUGCCGCAUGUCACAGCAAUGUCUCUGGACAAAGUUGGAAAAGGGGACGCCCGCAAGGGGUUCUCGCUGGAGGAUGAGUCCGCGGCCCAUCAGCUUGUUGGCGGGGUAAUGGCCCACCAAGGCGAAGACGGGUAGCUGGUCUGAGAGGAUGACCAGCCACACUGGGACUGAGAUACGGCCCAGACUCCUACGGGAGGCAGCAGUGAGGAAUAUUGCGCAAUGGGCGAAAGCCUGACGCAGCAACGCCGCGUGUAGGAUGAAGUCUUUCGGGACGUAAACUACUGUUAGAGGGGAAGAAACUCCGGUUACGCCGGGGGUGACGGUACCCUCAGAGAAAGCCACGGCUAACUCUGUGCCAGCAGCCG
RNAcentral lists this ribosomal RNA (503 nucleotides) under uncultured bacterium. Its description in RNAcentral is "bacterial SSU rRNA". It matches the Rfam family "Bacterial small subunit ribosomal RNA", at positions 29 to 517 of the family's 1533-position model. The record is from RNAcentral.